UGGAGUGGGCGCAUGAUCGCUGUCCGUUUACGGAUAGAGGAAAGUCCGAACUCCGCAGGGCAGGGUGGUUCGUAACGCGAACUGGGGGUGACCCCAAGGAAAGUGCCACAGAAAACAUACCGCCUCGGCGUUGUCGGGGUAAGGGCGAAAAGGCGAGGUAAGAGCUCACCGCUUUCGCGGCGACGCGGAAGGCAUGGUAAACCCCACCCGGAGAAAGACCAAAUAGGGAAGCGUUUAAGGACUGCCCGUCCAAGGCUUCCGGGUAGGUUGCUAGAGACGCCGGGCGACCGGCGCCCCAGAGAAAUGAUCAUGGUUCGCCUCGGCGGAUACAGAAUUCGGCUUAUAGCCCACUCCAGUUU
RNAcentral lists this RNase P RNA (359 nucleotides) under Deltaproteobacteria bacterium RIFOXYD12_FULL_50_9. RNAcentral's name for it is "RNase P RNA component class A". It matches the Rfam family "Bacterial RNase P class A". Rfam says of the family: Ribonuclease P (RNase P) is a ubiquitous endoribonuclease, found in archaea, bacteria and eukarya as well as chloroplasts and mitochondria. Its best characterised activity is the generation of mature 5'-ends of tRNAs by cleaving the 5'-leader elements of precursor-tRNAs. Cellular RNase Ps are ribonucleoproteins. Lineage: Bacteria; Deltaproteobacteria. The record is from RNAcentral.